AAACUCACUCGCUCACUCAACAAUCUCUUCAUCUCUGCUGUGCACAAAACAAAACAAACAACUCUUCUGCGUCCAAAAAACUAAUGGAAAUAUUUUCGUCAAGCUCGUUGAGUACUGGAAGCUCCAAAAGACAUCACCGUAAGUCUAGCCCGACGGGAUACAACGCAACAUUCGAAGCACGUCGAAAGACCAUGAAGACAGUAACACUAGGAGGAAGUCCCAAGCGAAGUUGGAGGAUGAAAAGUGUGCCAAAAUUCAAGUUCAAAUUGAUAUUAUCGUCGCCUAUGAGGCUAUGGAGGAAACUAAAGAACGGUUACAUGAACUUGAUGCUUAAUAUCGGAAGCUCAAGUUCUGCAAAUGGUUUGGGAGAGAAAAGAGUACCCAAGGCUCGUAAAUCAUCUAGGGUUAGUAGCAGUAAUACUGAGUUCGAUAACAGACUCGUUUUCGAAAUCUACAAGUCCUUGGUCACUUCUCAUGAAUUGGCCGCAAAUUAGUUUGGUUGUGUAUGAAUAGCUUAAUGUUUCAGCCAGUAAUUACUGGAUCAUGUAAUUAUAAACCAUUUUUUUAAUAUACAUAUAUUUAUCGGAUCAUUUAUAUUUAGACCCAUUUAUUUAUUCUAUAAAAAUCAUUCGGUACUGUAAGGGUUGAGCUCGCUCCCUCCUCCUCCUUCUUCUUCUUGUUUUUUUUUUCUUUACAAUGAAUCGGUGAAUUUUUAACUAUUCGAUUAGCUAAAAAGCAUGACUUAGACCCAUUAGCUUCAAGUCUUUGUGGUCUGCUGACUCUUCCAAUUGUGUGGACAUAUGAAACUUAAUUAAAAUUGUGAAAGAAAAUUAGCGAGGAGACCAAGCAGAGGGAAGAGAAAGUAGAGAAUAUAUAUAUUAAAAAAUCGAUGAAGAACCGCAAAGUUUGUGAAUGCACUGAAUGGACAAUGAUUGAAAUUUGUUAGCAUUGACCAAUACCACAAAGGCUGGGUACUUCACUAUACAUCCGUGCGGUCAAAAGAUAAGAACAAGUCCAGUACUCUCUUAAUAGCUUUCAUUAAUCUAACAGUAUCAUACUUCAGUUAUGUAGAUUAUAUGUUUAUACAUAUAUUAUCCAUGUUUUUCUGUUUUAACAAUGAAAAUCCAAAUGCAUGCUUAUACUCUUUCAGUACCUCAGAAUUCUUCAUUUGUUCUGUACCUUACUCUCAUAUAUCAAUUCUUUCCUUAAAAAAAAACUCAUUUCUUUUCAUAUCUAAUUAAACAUCAGUUGAUAUUAUUAAUAAAACUCUUUUUUUUUUGUUAUCCUCUUGUAUAAAUAUUAAGAUUUAGGCAUAAGAAUUAUAUAUGUUUCUUAGUUUAAAACUGUAGACCUCAGUUUAGUGGCGAAAGUUUCAAAUAAUCCUGAGAACAAAUGAGAAGGUGAAGGCAGCCAUAGUAGUUUGACUUAAUUUUAAAAAAAAUAUUUAUAAUUUUUUUUAUUAAAAUUCUUCAUUUUCAAUCAAUGAUCCGAUUAAUACUCCGUAUGUCCUCUUCAAUUGUAUACAUUAAUUUUUGGCAUGUUUUUUUAAGGUUCUUUAAGGGAUGGUUUCAUAAUAUUUUCAAAAUUGUUUUUCCCUGAAUAAAAAUUUGAUGUUUAAAUUUUUUUAAAAAAUAAAAUUUAAAAAAAUAUACACAACUAUAUUUUAUAGAAGUAUCAAAAUACAUACCAAGAAGGAAGGUAUACAACUGAUAGAAAGUACUGAUUUUACACUUUUAGCAAAACAAAGAUAAUUUGAAAAUCAGUUUCCAGAAACUUGAUCCUGAAAAGCUGCAUGUAAUAAAUUCAGCCUCCACCGGUACCUUUAAUUGAAUUUCUAAGGCGCAAGUGCAAAAUAUAUGACAUGUGCGAAAGUAAAUAAUCCUAAUAGUCAUAGUCAAACACCCCUUCUGGUGCGACCAUGACUAUACGAAACUGCCAAGCAAACACCAAGCCAAGACCCGUAUUAUAAAUACACAUGAUUCAUUCUACAAAACUCACUCACUCACUCAACAAUAUCUCAUCUCUGCAGCACAAAACAAAACAAACAGCUCUUCUUAAACGUCCCUAAUCAUCAUAAAACUAAUGGAAAUAUUUUCAUCAAGCUCGUUGAGUGGAAGCUCCAAAAGAUAUCGCCGUAAGUCCAGCCCGACGGGAUACAACGCAACAUUCGAAGCACGUCGUAAGAGCAUGAAGACAGUAACGCUAGGAGGUAGUCCCAAGCGGAGUUGGAGGAUGAAAAGUGUGCCAAAAUUGAAGUUUAAGUUAAUAUUAUCGUCGCCUAUGAGGCUAUGGAGGAAACUAAAG
RNAcentral lists this long non-coding RNA (2304 nucleotides) under Daucus carota (carrot). RNAcentral describes it as "long non-coding RNA (DCAR_LNC002163)". Lineage: Eukaryota; Viridiplantae; Streptophyta; Magnoliopsida; Apiales; Apiaceae. The record is from RNAcentral.